GUCUACAGCCAUGCCACCCUGAACAAGCCCGAUCCCAUCUGAUCUUGGAAGCUAAGCAGGGUCGGGCCUGGUUAGUACUUGGAUGGGAGACCACCUGGAAGACCAGGUGCUGUCAAUU
This 118-nucleotide ribosomal RNA is filed under the name Pteropus alecto (black flying fox). The record is from RNAcentral. Lineage: Eukaryota; Metazoa; Chordata; Mammalia; Chiroptera; Pteropodidae.